Molecule: ribosomal RNA, 429 nt
Filed under: Bacteroidota bacterium
Lineage: Bacteria; Pseudomonadati; Bacteroidota
Description: Bacteroidetes bacterium partial 16S ribosomal RNA
Rfam family: Bacterial small subunit ribosomal RNA
Source: RNAcentral
UAGGGAAUCUUCCGCAAUGGACGCAAGUCUGACGGAGCAACGCCGCGUGAGUGAAGAAGGAUCUCGGUUCGUAAAACUCUGUUGGUAGAGAAGAACAGCGCAUAGAGUAACUGUUAUGCGUGUGACGGUAUCUAACCAGAAAGCCACGGCUAACUACGUGGCAGGAGGCGCGGUAAUACGUAGGUGGCAAGCGUUGUCCGGAUUUAUUUGGCGUAAAGCGAGCGCAGGCGGUCAAUGAAGUCUGAUGUGAAAGCCCCCGGCUCAACCGGGUAGGGUCAUUGGGAACUGGUUGACUUAAGUGCAUAAGAGGAGAGUGAAAUUCCAUGUGUAGCGGUGAAAUGCGUAGAUAGAGGGAGGAACCCCAGUGCCGAAGGCGACUCUCUGGUCUGUAACUGCCGCUGGGGCUGGAAAGCGUGGGUAGCAAACAGG